GUUUUAAGCCAGCAGGUGGCAUCCGCACUGCCAAGGAUUCCCUGGCUUGGCUGUCUCUUGUCAAGGAGGAACUGGGGGAUGAGUGGCUGAAGCCAGAACUCUUUCGAAUAGGUGCCAGCACUCUGCUUUCGGACAUCGAGAGGCAGAUUUACCACCAUGUGACUGGACGAUACGCGGCUUAUCAUGAUCUUCCAAUGUCUUAAAUUAGCAGCCAGUUCCAAAAAUGCCCUUUGUAACAACGUUUAAAAAUUAUUUCUCUACAUGACUGCUAAGAUUAUUUAAUUUAAAAAGAGGGGAAUAGGUAACUGACAUUUUCUUCCUUAAAACUGCCAUUGAACUUAAAGAAUGAAAGAAAACUUAAGCUAAUCCACAUGUGCUACCCAUUUCAGGCACAUCUGGAAUGGUCUUGAUUAGGACAGCUACACUAUUAACAUAGUGAAGGUUUUUCAAAAAAACUGAGUAAAAUGUUAAUGGCAACUUUGACAACAUCAAAUUCUAAGGGGGAAAAAUGUUAGGCUGCCCACAUAGCGUGUCGUAGCAGAAGAAAAUGAAACAUCCGUGAACUGCUCCUCUAAUGACUUCAGGAGUCACUGAUUCAGCACUAAUUUCCCACCAUGAAAAUUCAUCUUUUAUUUUUGCAAUGGAUAUGUUCUUCUAUUAAUUGUUUUGCUAAUGAAACUUCCAACUUUGUUACAUGAAACUUUGAGUAUCAUUGGAAUGUUUAAAAUAAAAAAAGUCCUUGUGGUUGUUUAUAUUUAAAAAAA
Otolemur garnettii (small-eared galago) is the source of this 764-nucleotide long non-coding RNA. RefSeq lists it as uncharacterized. Lineage: Eukaryota; Metazoa; Chordata; Mammalia; Primates; Galagidae. The record is from RefSeq and is a predicted model, not a curated record. The transcript has 2 exons.